This 535-nucleotide ribosomal RNA is filed under the name Sarocladium sp. Its description in RNAcentral is "eukaryotic LSU rRNA". The stretch from base 162 to 315 matches the Rfam family "5.8S ribosomal RNA". The record is from RNAcentral. Lineage: Eukaryota; Fungi; Ascomycota; Sordariomycetes; Hypocreales; Sarocladiaceae.
GUGCCCUAGGCUCUCCAACCCAUUGUGAACUUACCAAACGUUCCCUCGGCGGGCUCAGCGCGCGGUGGCCUCCGGGCCUCCGGGCGUCCGCCGGGGACAACCAAACCCUGAUUUAAUCGUAUUUCUCUGAGGGGCGAAAGCCCGAAAACAAAAUGAAUCAAAACUUUCAACAACGGAUCUCUUGGCUCUGGCAUCGAUGAAGAACGCAGCGAAAUGCGAUAAGUAAUGUGAAUUGCAGAAUUCAGUGAAUCAUCGAAUCUUUGAACGCACAUUGCGCCCGCCGGCACUCCGGCGGGCAUGCCUGUCCGAGCGUCAUUUCAACCCUCAGGCCCACCCUUCCGGGGGCGGGCCUGGUUCUGGGGAUCGGCGGCCCUCGCGGCCCCCGUCCCUCAAAUUCAGUGGCGGUCGCGCCGCAGCCUCCCCUGCGUAGUAGCACAACCUCGCACCGGAGAGCGGAACGACCACGCCGUGAAACCCCCAAUUUUUCAAGGUUGACCUCGGAUCAGGUAGGAAUACCCGCUGAACUUAAGCAUAU